GCGGCUUGGUUCAGUCACGUCCAACUCAUGGACGGCAAAAUUCGUAAUGAUGGGGUCGGGGGUUCGAGUCCCUUAGCUCGCACCA
Molecule: transfer RNA, 85 nt
Filed under: Roseovarius lutimaris
Lineage: Bacteria; Pseudomonadati; Pseudomonadota; Alphaproteobacteria; Rhodobacterales; Roseobacteraceae
Description: tRNA_Thr_CGT
Source: RNAcentral